UCAUUUGCUAAUGCUCCCGGAUAAGUCCAACUGGAUGCUCACGUUAGGUUCACUGACGAAGAUCGUAGAUGUUGCUAUGUUUCUAUGGAUGGCGAUCAAAUUUGUCCUACAUGCAGAACUAUAGUCUUCUAGUUUUUUGAAGAAGACGACGUACGAGAUCUUUCGUUAGCUACAAUAGGUGUACUAGCUCUUCCAUUAUUGGUUUCAGAAAUAGGUGCAUUGGUGGUUUGUAUGGCUGAAACCACAGCCCACAGACAAUUGUGUAUUUGAUAGAAAAUCUGGAAUUGCGUACUUUGGUAUAUGGCAAGUUGAAAUCGACAGUGCAAAAUCUAACAGAUACCUUAAAUGUGGUGGCAACUCGUUGAUAGUAAGAUUUUGUGUGGAGGACUUGUACACAGUAGCACCAUCAGUGUUCAGAGUAAAUGAUAUGUUCCAUGAUGACUGAAAGUAUGGAUCUAUCUCUGUGAGGUUGCGAUACUGAGCACUUGAAGUAAUAUCAGUCAUCUCAGAUGGAUUGCUGCCUCGUUUGUUGAAUGAUCUUAUAAUUUCUUUGCAAAAGUACUUGUCUACACCAAAAGUCUGCUUUCAGACAAAUGAACAACAACAACAACAAAGGCCCAAACCUGAAAAGAACUGAUUAAGUGUAUCUGAGAUUUUUAGAGUGAUGAACUCGUGGAUUUCUGACGUAAUGGCACUCAGGAAACAUUAGGGCAGUUGUGUCCUUCUACUAACACUUGUUUGCAACAGGAACAGAACUUUACUGCACUUGUCUCUGGCGUCUUUGACGUUGACCUUACGAACUUCUUUAUUCUACAAAUGACGGCAAGUGAGCCACUAGCAAGUUUACUAGAUCAGCAGCUGCUGUCAUAGUUAACUUGUGCUUCAGUACAAACAACAUGAUUAAAACAGCACUGGAUCCAACUGUCAUUGAAGACCCUGGAAAGAUGACGUCUUCAAAAGCGUUUGCAAUCAUGUUAGUAUUCUUAUCAUUGUCAUGAUUGUUUUCAGUAUUGUCACCAGUAUUCUUAAACCGGACAACAUCGUCAUCCUCAUCAUUGUCGUCGUCGUCGUCGUCGUCGUCGUCGUCGUCGUCGUCGUCGUCGUCAUCGUCAUCGUCGUCGUCAUUGUCGUCGUCGUCAUCAUCAUCAUUGUCGUCAUCAUCAUCAUCAUUCUGAUCAUCAUCAUUGCAGUUACCAUGCCUAAAUCCACUACUAUCAUCUCCAUCUUUAUCAGCUGUGUCAAAGACACACAGAUCUACAUGUACAUGACAUGCAUCAUGUCUAGUCAUUACCUACCAUUCAUUGAAAAGGUUUCAUUGGGGAUCUCACACUCUUCUAAAUUAUUAUCUUGUCGACUUGUGUCAAGAACAUCUGUGACCCAAGACAAGACAAUAGAGUAUUUUACUGUCCGCGUGAUGCAUGUCAAAUCUGUCUAAUAAUACUUUACUGCUAGAAACAUUCUCUUGUGAUUGGUGUUGUUUAUGAACAAUUAAGAUUAAUUAAAUUAAUACUAAUUUAA
Molecule: long non-coding RNA, 1518 nt
Organism: Corticium candelabrum
Lineage: Eukaryota; Metazoa; Porifera; Homoscleromorpha; Homosclerophorida; Plakinidae
Exons: 4
Source: RefSeq, a predicted model, not a curated record